RNAcentral lists this transfer RNA (72 nucleotides) under Ovis aries (sheep). It matches the Rfam family "tRNA". Rfam says of the family: Transfer RNA (tRNA) molecules are approximately 80 nucleotides in length. Their secondary structure includes four short double-helical elements and three loops (D, anti-codon, and T loops). Lineage: Eukaryota; Metazoa; Chordata; Mammalia; Artiodactyla; Bovidae. The record is from Rfam by way of RNAcentral.
UCCCUUGUCGCUCAGCUGGUAAAGCGUCUGCCUGCAACGCAGGAGAACCAGGUUCGAUUCCUGGGUUGGGAA